Molecule: ribosomal RNA, 364 nt
Filed under: uncultured bacterium
Lineage: Bacteria
Description: partial 16S ribosomal RNA
Rfam family: Bacterial small subunit ribosomal RNA
Source: RNAcentral
CCUACGGGUGGCAGCAGUGAGGAAUAUUGGUCAAUGGACGCAAGUCUGAACCAGCCAUGCCGCGUGCAGGAAGACGGCUCUAUGAGUUGUAAACUGCUUUUGUACGAGGGUAAACGCAGAUACGCGUCUCUGUCUGAAAGUAUCGUACGAAUCAGGAUCGGCUAACUCCGCGCCAGCAGCCGCGGUAAUACGGAGGAUUCAAGCGUUAUCCGGAUUUAUUGGGUUUAAAGGGUGCGUAGGCGGUAGGGUAAGUUAGAGGUGAAAUCCCGAGGAUCAACUUCGGAAGUGCCUCUGAUACUGUUCGGCUAGAGAGUAGUUGCGGUAGGCGGAAUGUAUGGUGGAGCGGUGAAAUGCGUAGAGAUCA